Molecule: ribosomal RNA, 1486 nt
Filed under: Lactobacillus crispatus
Lineage: Bacteria; Bacillati; Bacillota; Bacilli; Lactobacillales; Lactobacillaceae
Description: bacterial SSU rRNA
Rfam family: Bacterial small subunit ribosomal RNA
Source: RNAcentral
GACGAACGCUGGCGGCGUGCCUAAUACAUGCAAGUCGAGCGAGCGGAACUAACAGAUUUACUUCGGUAAUGACGUUAGGAAAGCGAGCGGCGGAUGGGUGAGUAACACGUGGGGAACCUGCCCCAUAGUCUGGGAUACCACUUGGAAACAGGUGCUAAUACCGGAUAAGAAAGCAGAUCGCAUGAUCAGCUUUUAAAAGGCGGCGUAAGCUGUCGCUAUGGGAUGGCCCCGCGGUGCAUUAGCUAGUUGGUAAGGUAAAGGCUUACCAAGGCGAUGAUGCAUAGCCGAGUUGAGAGACUGAUCGGCCACAUUGGGACUGAGACACGGCCCAAACUCCUACGGGAGGCAGCAGUAGGGAAUCUUCCACAAUGGACGCAAGUCUGAUGGAGCAACGCCGCGUGAGUGAAGAAGGUUUUCGGAUCGUAAAGCUCUGUUGUUGGUGAAGAAGGAUAGAGGUAGUAACUGGCCUUUAUUUGACGGUAAUCAACCAGAAAGUCACGGCUAACUACGUGCCAGCAGCCGCGGUAAUACGUAGGUGGCAAGCGUUGUCCGGAUUUAUUGGGCGUAAAGCGAGCGCAGGCGGAAGAAUAAGUCUGAUGUGAAAGCCCUCGGCUUAACCGAGGAACUGCAUCGGAAACUGUUUUUCUUGAGUGCAGAAGAGGAGAGUGGAACUCCAUGUGUAGCGGUGGAAUGCGUAGAUAUAUGGAAGAACACCAGUGGCGAAGGCGGCUCUCUGGUCUGCAACUGACGCUGAGGCUCGAAAGCAUGGGUAGCGAACAGGAUUAGAUACCCUGGUAGUCCAUGCCGUAAACGAUGAGUGCUAAGUGUUGGGAGGUUUCCGCCUCUCAGUGCUGCAGCUAACGCAUUAAGCACUCCGCCUGGGGAGUACGACCGCAAGGUUGAAACUCAAAGGAAUUGACGGGGGCCCGCACAAGCGGUGGAGCAUGUGGUUUAAUUCGAAGCAACGCGAAGAACCUUACCAGGUCUUGACAUCUAGUGCCAUUUGUAGAGAUACAAAGUUCCCUUCGGGGACGCUAAGACAGGUGGUGCAUGGCUGUCGUCAGCUCGUGUCGUGAGAUGUUGGGUUAAGUCCCGCAACGAGCGCAACCCUUGUUAUUAGUUGCCAGCAUUAAGUUGGGCACUCUAAUGAGACUGCCGGUGACAAACCGGAGGAAGGUGGGGAUGACGUCAAGUCAUCAUGCCCCUUAUGACCUGGGCUACACACGUGCUACAAUGGGCAGUACAACGAGAAGCGAGCCUGCGAAGGCAAGCGAAUCUCUGAAAGCUGUUCUCAGUUCGGACUGCAGUCUGCAACUCGACUGCACGAAGCUGGAAUCGCUAGUAAUCGCGGAUCAGCACGCCGCGGUGAAUACGUUCCCGGGCCUUGUACACACCGCCCGUCACACCAUGGGAGUCUGCAAUGCCCAAAGCCGGUGGCCUAACCUUCGGGAAGGAGCCGUCUAAGGCAGGGCAGAUGACUGGGGUG